RNAcentral lists this unclassified non-coding RNA (1988 nucleotides) under Anthonomus grandis grandis. Its description in RNAcentral is "uncharacterized LOC126749318". Lineage: Eukaryota; Metazoa; Arthropoda; Insecta; Coleoptera; Curculionidae. The record is from RNAcentral.
AAAGGGGGGUUUACACGAUGCCAGUGACUUGAACAAGUUACUAAAAUCCAGCACUGGAUUUUAGUACUUGCUUUGUGUAAACAUAUAUUCCAAUACUAAAUUCCAGUACUGAUUUUAGUAACGAUUCCAGUACAGUGAAUAGAAAGCAUUUCUAUUUACUGAAGCAAGUGGUUACCCCCACUCCCACUAUCCUCUUAACUAAACCUGUGUAGACACGAUGAUUCCAGCGUUCGAUUUUAGUAAAUAAAUCAGUACGUAGUUUUAGUAAUUGUUUUAAAGUGUAGGUGUUAUUAUUAUUCAAAAUGUGCGCAAAAUGGACUGAAGAUACCACAGUAAAGUUUGUAGAAUUAUAUAGGGAGGAAGAGUGCCUUUGGAAUACACAGUUGGUAAUCUAUAGAAAUAAACAAGCCCGUGAGUCGGCUAUAAAAAGAAUUGUGGAAACAAUGGAAAUCGAGAAUUUUGGCCCAAUAGAUGUAAAAAACAAAAUAAAAACUCUAAGGUCGACGUAUGUACAAGAGGUAGCAAAAAUUAAGAAAUCGCAAAGCUCUGGGGCCGGAGCCGAUGAAAUAUAUAAACCAAAAAUGAAGUGGUUUUCAGUUAUGCAUAUGUUUUUACAAACAAUGGAUAAGAGAAGGGUAACAUGCAGUAAUUUGGCUUCAGAAACAUAUAAUGGAUCGAAUACAUUACAAGUAGAAGAUGAAGUUGAAGAGGCAACACACGAAGAAGUACCAUUAGCAGCAGAGGUAAUAAAAGCGAAUGUUAGUGGAGCUAUUAAUGAACCUACUCCAAAACGCCAUAAGGCAGCGAAGUCCAAGAUUAAAGAAGUUGCUGGUUGCAUCAAAGACUUAAAUUCUUUAACGACGUCUAUUCGAGAUCUACAAUCUACGGAAUCAUCUGAAAAUGAAUUCGAUAUUUUCGGGAAGAGCGUAGCUGCACAAUUAAAUAAGUUGCCCCUUUUAGCGGCCGUCACGGCUCAAGCUGAAAUUCAGCAAAUUUUGACUCGUUCCAGAGUGUCAAAUAUAGAAGGUACAAGCACCUCAUUAGGUUCUUCCAGAUGCACCAGUGCAUUUAGUACUUUGCCGAUCCCGGAAUCAGGUGAGACCUUGAUUUCUCCAGAAUCACCCAACACAUCCCUACCACCGGCAGAUAACAAUACAAGCAAUAUUCUUUCCGAAGCAUAUAGAUCCGCUUUUGAUCUAGAUACUGAUAAUUGGGGUUAGAAUCAUAUACUUUAUUUUCAUUCAUACUUAAUAUUUAGAUUUCAGUUUAAAGAAUAAUGUGUUAUUUUACGUUUAAUUGAAUAAUAUGAUAUAUGAAUAAUUAUUUUUUUACUGUUGAAAACUAUGAUUUUAAUUUUAUAAAAAAAGGAAUACGACAUUAUUUACCUGUAUAAAAUCCUCCAAUGCAUCGUAUAUGGCAUCGCAUACUUCUGGAAUAAACUUGGAAAUUGCAGGCCGGGAAACACGGAAUUGCUGCUGCAAAUUUCGGUAACUAUUUCCAGUAGCUAAAUAUGACAGAGUAAUUUCUAAUUUUGUUCUGGCAGAAGAACGUCAAAGGAAGCAGGAGACAUUCUCAUACAGUUUCUGUAUUCUUGAACGUCUUCGAUGGCAAGUUCCUUUAAAAGCAUGUUAGAUGCACCAUGCGUGCUUCUCCUUGCCAGCCAUUUUCUAACCCAAAUUCUUUUCUUGGGAUUUGUUGUUAAUUCACUCUGAACAAUGUCAAUUAACUCCUCUAUCAGUACUUUAACACCUAAUAUUAAGCUUCUUUUAAGUAAAACAUAUUCCUUCUGCUUCGCACUCAUCAUUUAAAUUUAACGUUUUUAAUUCUCGCCUGUAACCUACACUACAAAAACUUGAUAAAAUGGAUUUUAUGCAAGUUACUUGAUCAAAUGACUGGCAUCAUGUAGACAAGAACUAUCUUCCAAAGCACUUGCUUUUGGUACUGGAUUCUAGUAACUUGUUCAAGUCACUGGCAUCGUGUAAACCCCC